UUUGAUUCUGGCUCAGAUUGAACGCUGGCGGGAUGCUUUACAUGCAAGUCGAACGGCAGCACGGACUUCGGUCUGGUGGCGAGUGGCGAACGGGUGAUGUGUAUCGGAACGUGCCUAGUAGCGGGGGGAUAACUACGCGAAAGCGUAGCUAUGCAUACGCCCUUCGGGGGAAAGCGGGGGACCUUCGGGCCUCGCACUAUUAGAGCGGCCGAUAUCGGAUUAGCUAGUUGGUGGGAGGUAACGGCUCACCAAGGCGACGAUCCGUAGCUGGUUUGAGAGGACGACCAGCCACACACUGGGACUGAGACACGGCCCAGACUCCUGCGGGAGGCAGCAGUGAAAUUUUGGACAAUGGAAACCCUGAUCCAGCCAUCCCGCGUGUGCGAUGAAGGCCUUCGGGUUGUAAAGCACUUUUGGCAGGAAAGAAACGGCACGGGAUAAUACCCCCGUGCAACUGACGGUACCUGCAGAAUAAGCACCGGCUAACUACGUGCCAACAGCCGCGGUAAGUGCAAGCGUUAAUCGGAAUUACUGGGCGUAAAGCGUGCGCAGGCGGUUCGGAAAGAAAGAUGUGAAAUCCCAGAGCUUAACUUUGGAACUGCAUUUUUAACUACCGAGCUAGAGUGUGUCAGAGGAGGUGGAAUUCCGCGUGUAGCAGUGAAAUGCGUAGAUAUGCGGAGGAACACCGAUGGCGAAGGCAGCCUCUAUAGGUCUUUACCCCGGCGCUCAUGCACAGCAACGUGGGAGCAAACGAAGGAUUAAAUACCCUGGUGAUCCGCGCCCUAAACGAUGUCAACUAGCUGUUAUGGCCUUCGGGCCUUGGUAAGCGCGGCUAACGCGUGAGUUGACCGCCUGGGAAGUACGGUCGCAAGAUUAAAACUCAAAGGAAUUGACGGGGACACAAGCAGUGGAUGAUGUGGAUUAAUUCGAUGCAACGCGAAAACCUUACCUACCCUUGACAUGUCUGGAAUCCCGAAGAGAUUUGGGAGUGCUCGCAAAGAACCGGAACACAGGUGCUGCAUGGCUGUCGUCAGCUCGUGUCGUGAGAUGUUGGGUUAAGUCCCGCAACGAGCGCAACCCUUGUCAUUAGUUGCUACGAAAGAGGGCACUCUAAUGAGACUGCCGGUGACAAACCGGAGGAAGGUGGGGAUGACGUCAAGUCCUCAUGGCCCAUAUGGGUAGGGCUUCACACGUCAUACAAUGGUCGGGACAGAGGGUCGCCAACCCGCGAGGAGCCAAUCCCAGAGCGGUCACGUAGUCCGGAUCGCAGUCUGCAGCUCGACUGCGUGAAGUCGGAAUCGCUAGUAAUCAUGGAUCAGCAUGUCGCGGUGAAUACGUUCCGGGUCUUGUACACACCGCCCGUCACACCAUGGGAGUGGGUUUACCAGAAGUAGUUAGCCUAACCGUAAGGAGGGCGAUUACCACGGUAGGAUUCAUGACUGGGGUGAAGUCGUAACAAGGUAG
Molecule: ribosomal RNA, 1464 nt
Filed under: uncultured Bordetella sp.
Lineage: Bacteria; Pseudomonadati; Pseudomonadota; Betaproteobacteria; Burkholderiales; Alcaligenaceae
Description: partial 16S-23S ribosomal RNA intergenic spacer
Rfam family: Bacterial small subunit ribosomal RNA
Source: RNAcentral